UCUCGCCGAUCGUAUUAGAUUUCCUAUCUAAUUUGGGAAUAUUGAAUAUUCGAUCAUUCCGGCACGGAUAUUACGUUGCACGCAUCGCCGCGGGCGUGUUAUUUCGAGCCGCGCAGUUCCCCGGCGAAAGCUCGGCAGCGCCGAGGGAGACUUCGAGAUACAUUAGUCAGAAUUCUGAAGUUGCCGCGCGCUAAUCCGCCGCGCCCGCGGCCGAAUUGACGCGCGUUACAAUUGCGACGAGAGGACGACGCGUGUCGAGUUGCACCGCGCGUAUUUCCCGCGUGAAGCGCGCGUCAGGCGUUCUCGAGGAUCCGGGCUGGCUCCUCAGGUCUGUUCUUUUCAUCGGCUAGCCGAGGUAGCCUCGCGCUUUUUGCGCCCGGAGCGAGGCGAGUGUGUCGCGUUAAAGGGGAACAGGAACGAAGUUCCGGCGCAGCGCUGCUUUAGUAGCGCCAAGAAGAGCAGGCCUGUCCUUUCAAACUCGUCCUGGGAACGUCCUACUUUUGUCGGGCUCGUUGUCUGUCGGGCGCCUUUCAGCCGACGAAGGACGACGCCUUUCAGACACGCGCGGUCUUUUAAUUCCACUCCCAUCUCGUUUUUUCCGUCUCUCUCCUGCCGCUCCUCUCUCUCUCUCUCUCUCUCUCUCUCUCGUUUUAUUCCCCAGCCGAGAAAUAUCGGUUCGAUGAAGACGCAUCGUCAUAGCAACCAAACAAACAAGCCGGCGCACUCGAGGCACGUAUCGAAUUUGUCGCGCGACUGACACCGUCUCGAAAGGGCGGCCGCCGCCGUGGCCUCGGCGUUUUCAUCGCUCCUUCGCAGCCGCGCAUCCAGGAGGAUGAUCGCGCCGCCGUCGUCGAGGACGCGCCGCGACUUACCGAAGUCUAGGAGGUAUCCCUUCGACGUGCUCGGCACCGCGAACAUAUCUUACGGGCACAGGUUAGCGGAGUGCGCGGGCCGGCAUGUCGCAAAGUGCCAUGCAAAUUCGCGCAAAUCCGUCUUCGAGUGCGCCGAGGAACGGCCGGAGGACAAGAGGGAAUACGAGCGCGCCCUCAAGACCGCCGAGUUCGAGAAGGAGACCGAUCGGAAGAUCAGAAGCAGGAGUCUUCACCAACAAGCUCAACAAGGUGUGUCGGCGUACGAGGAGCGGCUGCGGCUGCGGCGGGCGAGGCUGCGCGACCUCGUGCGGUGCGAGGACUCGGGCCAGGCGCGGCAGCUGGCGGAGGAGGCGCAGCGCGCCGAGGACGCUCGGCUCGAGGAGAUGCGCGCGAUGACGGAGGAGCUGCGGCGGCAGCGAGAGCAGGAGCGCGGGGUGCUGGCGGCCGCGAAGCGGGCGCAGCAGUACCUGGCCUCGUGCCCGAGCGCUAGACAGGCGUACUCGAAGGGGUGCGCGAUGAACGCGAAGCGCGCCAACGCGGCGCAGAUCGCGGACCACGCGGCGAGGAGAUCGGCGGAGAGGGUGCAGCAGGAGCUGUGGCAGCGGGCGCUGCAACGGCAGCUGGAGGCGCAGGAGCUCCGAGAGUCGCGGCUGUCGGCGAGGCGAGCUGAGGCGCGCCAGCAAUUGGCUCGCGGCUUGGCCGAGCAAGUGGCCGAGAAGUUGGCGCUGGAGGAGGAGCAGAGGCGGCUCGAGAGGAGCGACGAGCUGGAGCAGCUGGAGCGGCAGCGCGAGGAGUCGAGCUUGCUGGAGUCGCGGCAGCUCCAGCUGCGUCAGCAGCAGCGGCAGGAGCUGCGCAAGGAAAUGCAGGAGGAAGUGCUGAGGGCGCAACGGCAGCGAGCGGAGCGCGCUCGUGAGGAAGUCGCGUCGGUUACUGCGGGCGAGUUCAUAAAGGACAAAUCGACAAAGGACCCUGCGACGCUCCGCACCGAGUCGAUGGCCUACGCCGGCUACCUGAAGGACCUGCGGCGGGACGAGGCGAGACGAGAGCGCGAGGCGGAGGCGGCCAUUGAGCGCUCGCGCCAAGAGCUCGAGGCGAAGCGCGAGCUCGCGCGCAGGAGCCUGAAGGAAGCCCGCGAACGCGGCCUGCAGGAGGUCCUGCGCGCUCGGGAGGAACAGGUGAGGGCGCGGCGGACCGCGGAGGCGGCGGAACAGCGGCUGAGGACGGAGGAGAGGGAGGCGCUGGAGAGGCAACUCGAGAGCGACGCCGAGCUGGCCGCGGCGCGGCGGCAGGGGGACAGACAAAAGGCGUAUCGUUAUGGGCUGGAGCUGGAGGAGCAGCGGCGGCAGCGUCUCGUCGCGGCGGCGGAGCGACGCCGCGAAUUGGAGGAGCUGGAGAACCGGGCGGCCGAGGAAGAGAGGAUGCGGCGAGCGGCGGAGACGUGGUGCGCUUCCGGAAGGAUCGUGCGCCAGCCGCCCUGCUCAAUCCCCCCUUGCCGGCGGUCGUCUGAGGAAUGCCGGGCCGGCGGUAGUCGCACGCCGCGGGAAGGACGUUCCGGCGGCCCUCCGCUUUUGAUUUCCGCGUGAAUUUUAACGUCGCCCUCUUCCCUGCAAACUUCUCCGACAACACGACAACGAGCUUGCCGAAUGCGUUCGUUGAUCGCGUGGGAACCGUUCUUGAAGGAUCAUAGCGGACGGUCGAAGAUGCACGUCAAGAUUGAACGGACGCUUGAAGAUGGAUGAUUGUAAGGACGGUGGGGUGAUGUGAAAAAGAGCACCGAGACGCGACUUUGACCACCGAGGGAUGAAAAUUUCCCCGCAUAUUCCGGUCGGUGCAGCUGCAUGCGUGCGUGCAUGUGUGUGUGUGUGUGUGCGCUUGCACAAUUUCCAUUCAUACCACCGGAACGCGUGUCAAACACGAGGCAUUGACAGAAUUUAAUAACAUGCAUAACCCACAAAAUUAUAAAUGAUAUCGUGUAACAUUUUGUACCUCUCUCUCCUCCUCCUGCCUUCUCUCUCUCUCUCUCUCUCUCUCUCUCUCUC
Molecule: unclassified non-coding RNA, 2911 nt
Filed under: Harpegnathos saltator (Jerdon's jumping ant)
Lineage: Eukaryota; Metazoa; Arthropoda; Insecta; Hymenoptera; Formicidae
Description: trichohyalin, transcript variant X1
Source: RNAcentral